This 607-nucleotide ribosomal RNA is filed under the name uncultured bacterium. Its description in RNAcentral is "bacterial SSU rRNA". It matches the Rfam family "Bacterial small subunit ribosomal RNA", at positions 330 to 929 of the family's 1533-position model. The record is from RNAcentral.
UCCAGACUCCUACGGGAGGCAGCAGUAGGGAAUCUUCGGCAAUGGACGAAAGUCUGACCGAGCAACGCCGCGUGAGUGAAGAAGGUUUUCGGAUCGUAAGACUCUGUUGGUAGAGAAGAACGUUGGUGAGAGUGGAAAGCUCAUCAAGUGACGGUAACUACCCAGAAAGGGACGGCUAACUACGUGCCAGCAGCCGCGGUAAUACGUAGGUCCCGAGCGUUGUCCGGAUUUAUUGGGCGUAAAGCGAGCGCAGGUGGUUUAUUAAGUCUGGUGUAAAAGGCAGUGGCUCAACCAUUGUAUGCAUUGGAAACUGGUAGACUUGAGUGCAGGAGAGGAGAGUGGAAUUCCAUGUGUAGCGGUGAAGUGCGUAGAUAUAUGGAGGAACACCGGUGGCGAAAGCGGCUCUCUGGCCUGUAACUGACACUGAGGCUCGAAAGCGUGGGGAGCAAACAGGAUUAGAUACCCUGGUGGUCCACGCCGUAAACGAUGAGUGCUAGAUGUAGGGAGCUAUAAGUUCUCUGUAUCGCAGCUAACGCAAUAAGCACUCCGCCUGGGGAGUACGACCGCAAGGUUGAAACUCAAAGGAAUUGACGGGGGCCCGCACAAG